GCAGCUUAUCCUGUGGAGGAGGUGGCUUCCUGCAGGGUGCUGGCAGGCCGAAACCCACCCCCAUGCCAGUGCCUUCAGCGGUGGCCUGCUGACCUCCCAGGGUGGGGGCCACCGCUUGGCACACAGUGGGAGCUCUGAGAACAUGGGCUAAAACAGAACUUGGGGAACUGGCUUUUCUUGGCCAGAGCAGCCUAUCCCCCGGGCCCUCUGGAGUCAGCCAGAUCCCUGGUUCCAGCCCCUCUCCCAGCUGCCUCUGGUGAGCCAACGGGGCCCAGUCCCCUCUUCCAGGGAACCCUGCACCCUGGGCACCCCACAGGGCUAUGUCCUCUCUGAGACUGUUCUGACACUUAGAAAACAGAUAACAGCUCCUCCAUGUGGGCUAUAUGAGGAGAGAGGAGCAGCAGGCAGGCAGCUCAGCCCAGCCUGGGCACAGCCAGUGCCCAUGGAUUCUGGCUGUAUCGGGAGCGCUGUCUUGCUCAUGGCUGCGUCCCACACCCUUGGCCCUGUGCCUGGCACACAGCAGGCACUUGACAGUAGGAAGCCAUCCCAUGCCUGGGGUGGCCCCAGGCUGUCAGGUUGGGAGUGGGCUGAGCCUUUGUCUGGGUCCUGGCUUCUGCUGCUCAGAACACCACUGGCUUUCUCUUCUCUCCCAAUUCUCUCACCCUCUCAGCCUGGCUUGAGGACACGCCUCUUCCCCCCCUUCAGGAUCACCUUGCCAGACACAAUAUAUGUGUUUAAGAAGCAGACACGUUUGUUGAAUAAAAGAAUGAAGCAAUGGAUGAGGCGUGGGGGCAACCAAGCUGGCUGGCAUAGGCAUCAAUACAUGUGGUGGCUCCUGGAGGCAGGCAGGGCAAGGGCAGCUGCAGGGCACUCACCCGGGCCUUGUCCUCCAUCUUCCCAAGGGCUGUCAGGGCUCCUCCAGUGGGUGCCCAAGGGUCCCUCCUUACCCUGGGCCUCUGGCCACCUUGAUCCCCAGCCUACCUGCUGA
Long non-coding RNA from Gorilla gorilla gorilla (western lowland gorilla), 988 nucleotides. RefSeq lists it as uncharacterized. The record is from RefSeq and is a predicted model, not a curated record. Lineage: Eukaryota; Metazoa; Chordata; Mammalia; Primates; Hominidae. The transcript has a single exon.